UGGGGAAUAUUGCACAAUGGAGGGAACUCUGAUGCAGCGACGCCGCGUGAACGAAGAAGGCUUUCGAGUCGUAAAGUUCUUUUAUAUGGGAAGAUAAUGACGGUACCAUACGAAUAAGGACCGGCUAAUUACGUGCCAGCAGCCGCGGUAAUACGUAAGGUCCGAGCGUUGUCCGGAAUCAUUGGGCGUAAAGGGUACGUAGGCGGAUAAGCAAGUUAGAAGUGAAAUCCUAUAGCUCAACUAUAGUAAGCUUUUAAAACUGCUCAUCUUGAGGUAUGGAAGGGAAAGUGGAAUUCCUAGUGUAGCGGUGAAAUGCGCAGAUAUUAGGAGGAAUACCGGUGGCGAAGGCGACUUUCUGGCCAUAUACUGACGCUGAGGUACGAAAGCGUGGGUAGCAAACAGG
Molecule: ribosomal RNA, 403 nt
Filed under: Verrucomicrobiota bacterium
Lineage: Bacteria; Pseudomonadati; Verrucomicrobiota
Description: Verrucomicrobia bacterium partial 16S ribosomal RNA
Rfam family: Bacterial small subunit ribosomal RNA
Source: RNAcentral